GGUUAAGUGACUAAGCGUACACGGUGGAUGCCUUGGCAGUCAGAGGCGAUGAAAGACGUAGUAACUUGCGAUAAGCCCAGAUUAGGUAGUAACAACCAUUUGAGUCUGGGAUUUCUGAAUGGGGAAACCCACGUGCAUAAGCACGUAUCCUUACCUGAAUACAUAGGGUAAGGAGGCGAACCGGGGGAACUGAAACAUCUAAGUACCCCGAGGAAAAGAAAUCAACCGAGAUUCCGAAAGUAGCGGCGAGCGAAAUUGGACUAGCCCUUAAGCUUUACACGCGUUAGACGAACGGUCUGGAAAGUCCGACGAUACAGGGUGAUAGUCCCGUAGUUGACGACGUGUGUUCAGUGAAAUCGAGUAGGGCGGGACACGUGAUAUCCUGUCUGAAUAUGGGGGGACCAUCCUCCAAGGCUAAAUACUACUGACUGACCGAUAGUGAACCAGUACCGUGAGGGAAAGGCGAAAAGAACCCCUGUGAGGGGAGUGAAAUAGAACCUGAAACCGUGUACGUACAAGCAGUAGGAGCAGGCUUUGUCCUGUGACUGCGUACCUUUUGUAUAAUGGGUCAGCGACUUAUAUUCAGUGGCAAGGUUAACCAUCUAGGGGAGCCGUAGGGAAACCGAGUCUUAACUGGGCGUUCAGUCUCUGGAUAUAGACCCGAAACCAGGUGAUCUAGCCAUGGGCAGGUUGAAGGUUGAGUAACAUCAACUGGAGGACCGAACCGACUAAUGUUGAAAAAUUAGCGGAUGACUUGUGGCUAGGGGUGAAAGGCCAAUCAAACCUGGAGAUAGCUGGUUCUCCCCGAAAGCUAUUUAGGUAGCGCCUCGGACGAAUACUACUGGGGGUAGAGCACUGUUAAGGCUAGGGGGUCAUCCCGACUUACCAACCCUUUGCAAACUCCGAAUACCAGUAAGUACUAUCCGGGAGACACACGGCGGGUGCUAACGUCCGUCGUGGAGAGGGAAACAACCCAGACCGCCAGCUAAGGUCCCAAAUUACUACUAAGUGGGAAACGAUGUGGGAAGGCUCAGACAGCCAGGAUGUUGGCUUAGAAGCAGCCAUCAUUUAAAGAAAGCGUAAUAGCUCACUGGUCGAGUCGGCCUGCGCGGAAGAUGUAACGGGGCUAAGUAGUAAACCGAAGCUGCGGCAAUGUGCUUUUGCACAUUGGGUAGGGGAGCGUUCUGUAAGCGGUUGAAGGUGUGUGGUAACGCAUGCUGGACGUAUCAGAAGUGCGAAUGCUGACAUGAGUAACGAUAAAGGGGGUGAAAACCUCCUCGCCGGAAGACCAAGGGUUCCUGUCCAACGUUAAUCGGGGCAGGGUAAGUCGACCCCUAAGGCGAGGCCGAAAGGCGUAGUCGAUGGGAAACGGGUUAAUAUUCCCGUACUUCUUACAAUUGCGAUGGGGGGACGGAGAAGGCUAGGUGGGCCUGGCGACGGUUGUCCAGGUUCAAGUGCGUAGGCUUAAGAGUUAGGUAAAUCCGGCUCUUUUUAAGGCUGAGACACGACGUCGAGCACCUACGGGUGUGAAGUCAUUGAUGCCAUGCUUCCAGGAAAAGCCUCUAAGCUUCAGAUUGUAAGGAAUCGUACCCCAAACCGACACAGGUGGUCGGGUAGAGAAUACCAAGGCGCUUGAGAGAACUCGGGUGAAGGAACUAGGCAAAAUGGUACCGUAACUUCGGGAGAAGGUACGCUCUUGAUGGUGAAGUCCCUCGCGGAUGGAGCUGACGAGAGUCGCAGAUACCAGGUGGCUGCAACUGUUUAUUAAAAACACAGCACUGUGCAAAAUCGUAAGAUGACGUAUACGGUGUGACGCCUGCCCGGUGCCGGAAGGUUAAUUGAUGGGGUUAGACUUCGGUCGAAGCUCUUGAUCGAAGCCCCGGUAAACGGCGGCCGUAACUAUAACGGUCCUAAGGUAGCGAAAUUCCUUGUCGGGUAAGUUCCGACCUGCACGAAUGGCGUAAUGAUGGCCACGCUGUCUCCACCCGAGACUCAGUGAAAUUGAAAUCGCUGUGAAGAUGCAGUGUACCCGCGGCUAGACGGAAAGACCCCGUGAACCUUUACUACAGCUUGGCACUGAACAUUGACCCUACAUGUGUAGGAUAGGUGGGAGGCUUUGAAGCACGUACGCCAGUAUGUGUGGAGCCGUCCUUGAAAUACCACCCUUGUAGUGUUGAUGUUCUAACGUCGACCCCUAAUCGGGGUUGCGGACAGUGCCUGGUGGGUAGUUUGACUGGGGCGGUCUCCUCCCAAAGAGUAACGGAGGAGCACGAAGGUGGGCUAAUCACGGUUGGACAUCGUGAGGUUAGUGCAAUGGCAUAAGCCCGCUUGACUGCGAGAAUGACAAUUCGAGCAGGUGCGAAAGCAGGUCAUAGUGAUCCGGUGGUUCUGAAUGGAAGGGCCAUCGCUCAACGGAUAAAAGGUACUCCGGGGAUAACAGGCUGAUACCGCCCAAGAGUUCAUAUCGACGGCGGUGUUUGGCACCUCGAUGUCGGCUCAUCACAUCCUGGGGCUGAAGUCGGUCCCAAGGGUAUGGCUGUUCGCCAUUUAAAGUGGUACGCGAGCUGGGUUUAGAACGUCGUGAGACAGUUCGGUCCCUAUCUGCCGUGGGCGUUGGAAGAUUGAAGGGGGCUGCUCCUAGUACGAGAGGACCGGAGUGGACGAACCUCUGGUGUUCGGGUUGUGUCGCCAGACGCAUUGCCCGGUAGCUAAGUUCGGAAUCGAUAACCGCUGAAAGCAUCUAAGCGGGAAGCGAGCCCUGAGAUGAGUCUUCCCUGAUACUUUAAGUAUCCUAAAGGGUUGUCGGAGACUACGACGUUGAUAGGUCAGGUGUGUAAGUGCUGUGAGGCAUUGAGCUAACUGAUACUAAUUGCCCGUGAGGCUUAACCAU
Molecule: ribosomal RNA, 2890 nt
Filed under: Vibrio parahaemolyticus
Lineage: Bacteria; Pseudomonadati; Pseudomonadota; Gammaproteobacteria; Vibrionales; Vibrionaceae
Description: 23S ribosomal RNA
Rfam family: Bacterial large subunit ribosomal RNA
Source: RNAcentral